RNAcentral lists this ribosomal RNA (418 nucleotides) under uncultured eukaryote. RNAcentral's name for it is "SSU rRNA". It matches the Rfam family "Eukaryotic small subunit ribosomal RNA", at positions 592 to 1018 of the family's 1831-position model. The record is from RNAcentral.
CAAUAGCGUAUAUUAAAGUUGUUGCAGUUAAAAAGCUCGUAGUUGGACUUCUGGGUUGUGAUUGUGGUCCGCCUAACGGUGUGCACUGUGGUUGCGACUCUUCUUCCCGUAGUUUGGGGGUGCACUUAGUUGUGUGCUUUUGGAAUAUGGGACCUUUACUUUGAAAAAUUAGAGUGUUCAAAGCAGGCCUUCGCUUGAAUACAUUAGCAUGGAAUAAUAGAAUAGGACUUUGGUUCUAUUUUGUUGGUUUCUAGGACCGAAGUAAUGAUUAAUAGGGACAGUUGGGGGCAUUAGUAUUUAAUUGUCAGAGGUGAAAUUCUUGGAUUUAUGAAAGACUAACUACUGCGAAAGCAUUUGCCAAGGAUGUUUUCAUUAAUCAAGAACGAAAGUUAGGGGAUCGAAGACGAUUAGAUACCAU